This is a long non-coding RNA of Lolium perenne, 2247 nucleotides long. RefSeq lists it as uncharacterized. NCBI's taxonomy places the organism in Eukaryota, Viridiplantae, Streptophyta, Magnoliopsida, Poales, Poaceae. The record is from RefSeq and is a predicted model, not a curated record.
UCGUUGGUCAUGCCGGAAUAUCCAUAUCUAAUCCCCCCAAUACCUACAGUAAAUAAUGUAAAACAAAUAGGUUGCCCUGUCAGCUUAUGGCAAUAGGUAAAAAGCAUAGUAUUGAGAAUGAUUGAGGUUGUUACCAGGUGUAUCCUGAGAAGUGCAUGUUCUAGGUAAUAUUCCGCAUUCACCAAGAUCGCUCCGGCGUUGCAUAUGAACGUAGCCCUGCAGCCACACAUGAAACAAUUAAGCCAUAUACCAGUUUUAUAACGUUGACUUGAAUCAGGUUUAUGUACCAGUUUUAUAACGUUGGUUACGUUCCUCAAUGGGCUAUGCUGUGAAAUCAGUGAGGGCGCCGCUGUUUUUUCAGACACUUCUUUACAAUUAACACCACUCUGGGCUGCAGCCAUCUUCUUUUGCUGGCGGGAUAUACGCUGUCUGUGUAUAUGAUCUUCUUUUUGCUGGAUAGACAAUCGAUCAUACCAGCUUUGACCACUUAGAUGUUUUUUCCGUUGUUGAAUCUAUUCAUCCCGAUUGUUUGCUAGGUCUGUAGCUGGGCCAGAGUUAUCAUAGUGCAAAGUGGAUGUGCCCUGUUAAUCGAGAGAAACAUUACUGCAACCCACAGUAGACUCACCACCUGAACAAUGCAAACAUUGGUAUAAAUAAGAUUAGAGAGCAACAUUGUUAUGGUCGGUCUGACCUAUACACGCAAGUGGCUAGUUGUGGGCUUAGCCCAAGUAAAUUAGGGACUUAGCCCAAGUAAAUUAGGGUUUAGAGGAGGCCGUCCUCCUAUAUAAACACAUGUACCCUUCGUGAUUAAUCAGACAAAUAUUCAGUAUCAUACUGUCUCGUCUCCUGAAGGGAGACGGGAGACCCCCUGCGCCCAGCCGCACCCAACCCUAGUGUAGCGACCCAGGAGAAAUCCCCAUAUUAGAUUUGUUUGUUUGUUUUCUUUUAUGCAUAAUCAUGGCAUCAAUCACUUUGCAUGUUUUAAUAAAAUAUCUCGAGAAAAUUAUUUUAUUAAAACUCUAUGUUUGCUUGCAAAAUUAUUCCAAGGUUAAAUAUAAACCUCCCACCUUUCUUCAUAUAUAUAUAUAUUUUUAAAAACAAAUAAGCUGAGUACAAAUAUUUUAAAAUGUUUGCAAGUGCUACAAAAGAAAAUCCAUUCAAAACCUUCCACUCUCGUUUUUGUUUUCUACAAAUCUGUGAGAGGAAUAAAGAAAAGCACAAGGAAAAGAGAGAAGAAGAGAGACAGUAGUGCAGCAGCCAAACUACCCUUUUCUCUGUCGUCUUCUUCAUGCUCACAAGGAGAGGGUGCUCUUUUGACCAUGGCCGACGUCACCUCCUCAACAACUGCUCCUUUCCCUCCUCAGCAAACCCUAACCUCCUCCAUCUUCCCCUCCUUGCGCCGCCACUUGUUUUCCCCUCGUCCAAAACUAAACGCACAAGGCAUGAGAAAAACAGCCACUUGACACACAGAAAAGCCACCACCGCACCUAGCUGGCCAUGGCGCCGCCGCAGCUGACCACCCCACGCCCGUCCGAGACCACCAGAAGCUCCGUCUCGUCGCCCCGGUCCUGCUCGUCCAAGGAAUCGAGCCGGCGUUCUCCCAAUCAAUGGCAAAUUCGCGGAUUCCCAUCCCCGGCCGCCGCGCUCCGGCGAGGAUUCCGGCUGCUCCGUCCAUCCUCCGACCUCGCUGACCGCACCAACACGUUCCUGGUCGUCGUCGCUGGCGCCGCUUUCGUAAUCCUCUGGUCGAGGGCUGUCUCCAUCGAGUUGCCGCAACGAAGUGUACCUCUGGUCCCGCAGUUCCCGUCUCCGUUCGCCCUGCAACGUUGAACCUGCGCUCGGCACUAAGGUGAUCGUCUGCAGCCUGCACCCUGUUCGCCCGACCCAGUAUUCAGUUUCGUCAGCGCUCCUCAUGAACCAGCAGCUCUCGUGCUUUUCUUCCUGGAUCCGGCGACAGCAGCUGUAGGUCAUCUGCUCACUUGCAUACGCAGAACUUUUGUUCAACUCCACUACCAUGUACAGAUCAUGGCGUCUCGAUCUACGAGCUGGCCAAUUGCUAGACAAUGUUUAUCCGACCGUGUCCGUGUCCCUUCAUGUCCAACGCGACCUCUACUUCCUCGUCGUCGAGAUCUACUUGCGGUCUGUCGCGGUUCAAGCAUUUGCUUCUUCCCGGAUAGGAUCACGAAGUGGUGUGGUGAGAUACGACAAGUUCUCCGGAUGUCCCUCGGCAAGCUUUAACAGGCAAGC